UUCCUACACGUUCAAUGGAACUCAAAGAAAAUCAUUUGAUGGCAGAGGUAUGAAGGUAGUAACCAUGAAGUAAUGCAGCAACUUUAAACCUAACCAAAUUGCAUUGACCACUGAUGGUAACUUAAACACAGUAGAGAGGUAUUUUAGAACGUCAUUGUCUGUGAUAAAUUUUAAAGACGGUGACUAUGCCUAUCAUAAAUACACAGGUAUCGUUUACUUUUUGAAUUGGAGUGAAAAUCUUAGGAUUGGGAGUGUGUGUUGGAUCAUAAACUUGAUCCAAGAUGAAUAAAUCAAGCCCAACUCAUGGAAGGUUCCAUGAGUAGGUAUGGUUGGUGAGGUUUGAAUUAUUUGUGUUAGGUGUGUUAGGUGUGGUUGGUGAAGUUGGUGAGUGGUAGGUUUUAAUGGAUGGUGAGGAUUUGUUUAUUAGUUGAAUAAAUGAAUGGUUAUGAUUAGUUUGUUUCAUGUAUAAAUACCCCCUCUCCCCUUUGGUUUAAACAUCAAGUGAAGCAGCAAAAUCUCUAAGGUGUAGAGAGUGAAAAAUAAGAGUUGUAAUUGGUGAGGAGUGUUGUUGAAGAAAUAAAAUAGUGUGUUUUUUAUGUGUUUUAAUUGUUAAUCCUCCAACAAAGUGGUAUCAGAGCUAGUGCUUGAUGCUAUAUAUAGUCAUAUAGCAUAUCAAAUCGAAGAUCUCGACGAGAGGAACGUGACGCCGCAAAAUUCAUCCCGAUCUGAGACCGGACGCGCCCACACUUGCCGCCGGAAGUUUUCUGUCCUGAAGCUGAGUCGACUCACCGAGUUGAACCAAGCUGAGCCGAACUGAACCAAGCCGAGCCGAGCUGAACCGAAUCAAGUCGAACCGAGCCAACUCGAGCUGAACCAAUCCGGACCGAACCGAGACUACCAAGCCGGUGUUGACCGUUGACCAGCGUUGACCGUUGACCGAAAGUUGACUCAAGUCAUUCCCAAGGUUUUUCGACGUGCCGGAUCCAUCUGUGCAUUCAGAAUCUCCAAAUUCUCACUCAAUUAGUGAGUUAUGACAAACGGUGGUAUGAUGUCACUUCAAGUUCCACAAUUAAAGGGAAGUAAGUUUGACAAUUGGAGUAUUAAAAUGAAGGCUCUAUUGGGCGCACAUGACGUAUGGGAUGUCGUGGAGAAAGGCUUUAUUGUGCCAGAAAAUGAAGCCACUUUAACUGCGGCGCAGAAGGAGAAUUUAAAAGACUUGAAAAAGAAAGAGAAUAAAGUAAAGUAUCUCAUCUUUCAAUCAUUAGAUAAAGAUGCUUUUGAAAAGAUUGCUGGUACAACCUCCUCAAAAGAAGCAUGGGAGAAACUAGAGACCUCUUACAAAGGAGCGGAGCAAGUUAAGAAGGUUCGUCUCCAAACAUUACGAGGAGAAUUUGAGUCCUUACACAUGAAGGCAUCGGAGUCAAUUUCUGACUACUUUACUCGAGUUGUGACCGUUUCCAAUGAAUUAAAAAGAAAUGGCGAGGAGUUAAAAGAGGUAAGGAUCAUUGAAAAGAUACUUCGAUCAGUAGACUUGAAGUUUGAUCAUAUUGUUGUGACAAUUGAAGAAACAAGAGAUCUGGAGGAUAUGACGAUCGAGCAACUUCAAGGAAGGUUGUAAGCCUAUGAAGAAAAACAAAAAAAAGAAGCAAGGAAUCGAAGAACAACUUCUCAAGAUGGAAGUCAAUCCAAAGAAAAGAGAAGAAAGCUCCGACAACGAGAGAAGGCACUAUGUCCGAGGUAGAGGUCGAGGACGAGGUAGAGGUCGUGGUCAUGGACGAGGUUGGAAUUUCAACAACAACAACUCCAAUUAUGCCAAAGGAGAAAGCUCAACCAGAGGACGAGGCAGAGGCAAUUCAAGAUCGAGGUAUGACAAAUCCCAAGUACAGUGCUAUAAUUGUCAAAAGUUUGGGCAUUAUGCUUCAGAAUGCAGAGCUCCAAGCACCAGAAUUGAAGAGAGAGUGAACUAUGCUGAAGAGAAAAAUGGUGAAGAUGGCACACUUUUACUAGCACGCAAUGACACAAGUGGAGGUCAAGAAAAUACAUGGUAUCUUGACACAUGUGCUAGCAAUCAUAUGAGUGGAAACAGAAGCAUGUUCGUGCAACUAAGUGAAUUUGUGAAUGGUAGUGUCACUUUUGGAGAUGAUUCAAAAGUACCAGUGAAGGGUAGAGGUAACAUUCUUUUUCGUGCAAAAGAUGGUAGCCACCAAAUAAUUUCGAAUGUUUACUAUGUGCCCAAUAUGAAAAGCAACAUUCUUAGUUUAGGUCAACUUUUAGAAAAGGGCUAUGAUAUUCACUUAAAAGAUUAUAGUCUUUUUCAAAGAGAUGACAAAGGAAAUCUAAUUACAAAAGUGAGAAUGUCAAAGAAUAGAAUGUUUCCUUUAAAUAUUCAAAAUGAUGUUGCAAAAUGUCUCAAAGCCUGUCACAAAGAUCAAUCCUGGACUUGGCAUCUUCGAUAUGGGCAUCUCAACUUUGGAGGACUGGAGCUACUAUCUAAGAAGAACAUGGUGAAAGGCUUACCAUACAUCAAUCACCCUGAUCAACUUUGUGAAGGAUGUUUACUUGGCAAGCAGUUCAGAAAGAGCUUUCCAAAGGAGUCAAACUCAAGAGCUCAGAAGCCACUCGAGCUCAUUCAUACUGAUGUGUGCGGUCCAUUCAAGCCAAACUCCCUUGGUAAAAGUAACUACUUCCUUCUUUUUAUAGAUGAUUUUUCAAGAAAAACUUGGGUGUAUUUUUUGAAGCAAAAAUUAGAAGUCUUUGAAGCUUUCAAGAAGUUUAAAACUGCAGUUGAAAAAGAAAGUAGAUACCAGAUUAAAGCCAUGAGAUCUGAUCGAGGUGGAGAGUUCACUUCCAAAGAAUUUUUAGAGUUUUGUGAAGCAAAUGGAAUUCGACGCCCUUUGACAGUUCCAAGAUCCCCCCAACAAAAUGGUGUUGCAGAAAGGAAGAACAGAACCAUCCUCGACAUGGCAAGAAGCAUGCUUAAGAGUAAGAGGCUACCUAAAGAAUUUUGGGCUGAAGCAGUUGCAUGUGCAAUCUACUUAUCCAAUCGAUCUCCAACAAGAAGCGUGUGGGGCAAGACGCCACAAGAAGCUUGGAGUGAAAUAAAACCUGGCAUCACCCAUCUAAGAGUUUUCGAAAGCAUUGCCCAUGUACAUGUACCAGACGAAAGUAGAGCCAAGCUGGAUGACAAAAGUGAGCAGUUCAUCUUCAUCGGCUACGACAACAACUCCAAAGGAUACAAGCUUUACAAUCCAAACAACGGAAAGAUCGUGAUCAGUCGAGAUGUAAUUUUUGAUGAAGAAUGAGAAUGGGAUUUUGGCUCUGGUGUGGAUGACUUCAACUUCUUUCCCAUUGAAGAAGAUGAUCAUACACAGAUAAAACAAGUAGACGAACAACAAGAGCCUGCCACUCCACCUAUCUCACCAGCACCAACCACAUGCGGGAAUUCACCGCCGUCUUUCUUAAAUGAAAGAACAGAAGAACGUAUAAGGAGUCUUCAAGAUCUCUAUGAGGUAACUGAGAGACAUGAUAAUCUUACUCUCUUUUGCCUCUUUGCUGAUUGUGAGCCAGUCAACUUCCAAGAAGCUGCACUAGAUGAGAAGUGGAGAAUUGCAAUGGAUGAAGAAAUCAAAGCCAUUGUGAAGAAUGAUACUUGGGAGCUUACUACUCUUCCAAAAUGUCACAAGGCGAUUGGUGUCAAAUGGGUGUAUAAAACAAAAAGAAAUGCGAAGGGAGAAAUUGAAAGGCACAAGGCAAGGCUAGUUGCAAAAGGCUAUAGUCAAAAGGCUGGCAUAGACUAUGACGAGGUAUUUGCUCCUGUAGCUCGACUUGAAACUAUUAGACUUAUUAUUUCUUUGGCUGCUCAGAACAAGUGGAAGAUUUUUCAAAUGGAUGUGAAGUCUGCUUUCUUGAAUGGAUUCCUUAAAGAAGAAGUUUACAUCGAACAACCAUUAGGUUAUGUGGUGAAAGGACAUGAAGACAAAGUUUUGAGAUUGAAGAAAGCUCUUUACGGGUUAAAGCAAGCACCAAGGGCAUGGAAUAGCAGAAUUGACAAGUAUUUUCAAGAGAAAGGCUUCACCAAAUGCCCAUAUGAGCAUGCUCUCUACGUCAAAGAAAAGGAUGGAGAUAUUUUGAUUGUGUGCCUGUAUGUGGAUGAUCUCAUCUUCACUGGAAGUAAUCCAAGCUUGUUUGAAGAGUUCAAGAGAGUAAUGAUCAAAGAGUUCGAGAUGACUGACAUCGGACUGAUGGCAUAUUACCUCGGCAUUGAAGUCAAGCAAAAGGAAAAAGGCAUAUUUAUCUCCCAAGAAAGCUAUGCAAAGGAGAUUCUCAAGAAGUUCAAGAUGAAUGAUUGUAAGCCUAUAAGCACGCCAGUGGAAUGCAGAGUCAAGUUAUCCAAACAUGAUGAAUGCGAAGAUAUAGAUCCAACAUUCUUUAAAAGUUUGGUUGGAAGCCUACGUUAUUUGACAUGCACAAGACCAGAUAUCCUUUAUGCUGUUGGACUUGUGAGCCGAUACAUGGAGAAUCCAAAGACCACCCAUUUUAAAGCUGCAAAAAGAAUCCUUCGCUACAUCAAAGGUACAACUAAUUUCGGCUUGCUAUACUCAUUUUCUAAUGACUACAAGCUUGUUGGAUAUAGCGAUAGCGAUUGGGGAGGAGAUGUAGAUGAUCGAAAGAGCACCACGGGAUUUGUGUUCUUCAUGGGAGAUACUGCUUUCACAUGGAUGUCAAAGAAGUAACCAAUUGUCACGCUAUCCACCUGUGAAGCUGAAUAUGUAGCUGCCACAUCAAGUGUUUGUCAUGCAAUUUGGCUCAGAAAUUUGCUGAAGGAGUUGAGUUUGGUACAAGAAGAGCUAACCGAGAUUUGUGUUGAUAACAAAUCAGCAAUUGCCCUAUCCAAGAAUCCAGUCUUUCAUGAUCGAAGUAAACACAUUGACACUCGCUAUCAUUUCAUAAGAGAGUGUAUUGCAAGAAAAGAAGUGCAAAUCAAGUAUGUAAAAUCACAAGAUCAAGCAGCUGAUAUCUUCACUAAGCCACUCAAGCAAGAAGACUUUGUAAGAUUCAGAAGUUUGCUUGGUGUCACAGGAUCAAGUUUAAGGGGAGGUGUUGGAUCAUAAACUUGAUCCAAGAUGAAUAAAUCAAGCCCAACUCAUGGAAGGUUCCAUGAGUAGGUAUGGUUGGUGAGGUUUGAAUUAUUUGUGUUAGGUGUGUUAGGUGUGGUUGGUAAAGUUGGUGAGUGGUAGGUUUUAAUGGAUGGUGAGGAUUUGUUUAUUAGUUGAAUAAAUGAAUGGUUAUGAUUAGUUUGUUUCAUGUAUAAAUACCCCCUCUCCCCUUUGGUUUAAACAUCAAGUGAAGCAUCAAAAUCUCUAAGGUGUAGAGAGUAAAAAAUAAGAGUUGUAAUUGGUGAGGAGUGUUGUUGAAGAAAUAAAAUAGUGUGUUUUUUGUGUGUUUUAAUUGUUAAUCAUCCAACAGUGUGGAGUGGGAGUGUUUACUUGCACUGGAAUGGAAAUAUGGAAUGGAGAUCAAAAUCUAAUUUAUGUGUUUACUUUAUCUUGAAUUGAGAGUAAAUAGUUUUAAAUUAUAAUUUUAUCCUUAUGUAAAGAAUUAUAGUUUUUAAUUACAAAGUUAAUAAAAAAUAUAUUUAAUGAAUAAACAUUUAUUUUAUUAUAUUUGUAAAUUUAUA
Molecule: long non-coding RNA, 5677 nt
Filed under: Citrus x clementina
Lineage: Eukaryota; Viridiplantae; Streptophyta; Magnoliopsida; Sapindales; Rutaceae
Description: Citrus clementina (C. clementina) long non-coding RNA (CCLE_LNC001140)
Source: RNAcentral